Molecule: unclassified non-coding RNA, 411 nt
Filed under: Hevea brasiliensis (rubber tree)
Lineage: Eukaryota; Viridiplantae; Streptophyta; Magnoliopsida; Malpighiales; Euphorbiaceae
Source: RNAcentral
GUUUUUUUCUUAUCUUUCUCCUGCAUCCAACUCCUCAUGCCCUAUUCCAUCUAGCUCCUAGUCUCGAAGUCGACUGGUCUUGCCUGCUCCUCCUCUGUUGUGUCUGACCGACGUUGUUUCCUGCUUUCCUCUUCUUCCCGUCGAUUCAAGCUUUUAUAGCUCCCAAAACUGCUGCUUGUGUUGGUGUGCUUCGCCGCCAUUGCCUCUUAUGUUAAGCUGAUAGAAUUUUUGGAGCUAGAAAUAUCGUGAAGUUCCUACAGUUUUAUGUGACUAAUUCGAGAAGCAACUUCAGUUUUAUUACAGUGGGGUUUUUAGCUUCUUAUUCUGAAGCAGGAAUUUCUCAAUUUUCUUUUUAAUUUAAGCACUUGAUUUGUUCAAAUUAAUUCGCUUACUCAAAUGAAUACUUUGUGG